RNAcentral lists this non-coding RNA (23 nucleotides) under Arabidopsis thaliana (thale cress). The record is from RNAcentral. Lineage: Eukaryota; Viridiplantae; Streptophyta; Magnoliopsida; Brassicales; Brassicaceae.
CAGAAUACAUCUGUUGGCGAUGC